CCACGAUUUGCUCACUCAGUGCACGGUGCAGACGGGAGCUCCCUGUGGGGACUCCGCAGAUGCUGGACUUACCUCUGAGUGUGCUGAGCUCUGGGUGGAGGGGACUGUCAGGCUGAAUGGCUGUGAGUUUGUGUUCUUCUCACUGGGGCAUCAGCAAUUCCCCCAAUUCCCUUUUCCCAGGCUGUUCCAUGUGGCUGUGGUCAGGCUGUGGCAGCACAGGCAGACGCAGCUCUCAGCACUCUCUGCUCCAAACACAACUCUGGCCUCCAUUGCAAUCUGUCUCUGUUGGGAGGUUUUCUCUUAGAGAAAUCAAAGAAUUGCUCAUGGCAAUUUGGAGAAUGAAUUUCCACAAAGGGAAGUGAGGAAUAAAAUCCUGCUCUAGGAGCCCUUGGGAUCUGCAGGGCUGGUUAGGGAAGGGGACAUUCACUCCCUGCAGUGCACACCCACCCACCUGCAGCACCCAGCCCAGCCUGCCAGCUGGGCUCUGCCAGCCCCUCUCUGAGCACCCUCCCUGUGCUGCUCCCUCUCAGUGCCUUUGGCAAUCCAACCCUGAGCCUGAGCAGCCCAAAGCUCUGUCUGGCAGCCCAGGGACAAAGGGACACUCCCAGGGUUGAGGCACAUUCCCAGCAAACGCUCCCAACAGGGCACAGAGGCACCCCUGGAGCUCCUGUGUGGGGCUGGCAGGAGGGCACAGCCCCCAGCUGGGCUGGCAGUGGCAGUGACAGCAGCAAAGUGCCACGGUCUGAUGGCACAACACAGACACCAAGGCCAGCAAUGCCCAUGGGAGGUGCACAAUUAAUUCUGCUCCCUGUGCUGCCCCAUCCCAGCAGGAAAGCUCCAGGGGGGAUGGAAACUCCUCCCCCUUCCCCCCAGCCCCAGAUAAGCACUCCUCAGUUUCAAACACCCAGUUCUCACCUCCAGCCUGCUCCCGGGGCUGCUGCCACAUUCCUGACAAGGUGCCAAAGGCCACUUGGGACAGGGCUCCCUCUGUGUCUCAGGGCUUGGGGACGGCAGGGACCAGGCUGCUCCAGCAAGGACAGCCUGAAACCAGAGCAGAUGUCCCAGGGUUAGCAAUGGGCUGGGGACAGGAGUUCUGAAAACAGCCCCCAAAAUGUUCUAUGAUCAUACCCUUAAAAUGGCUCCAAAGGGCAGCAGCUCCGGUGCCAGACCAGCACCUGCACGAUUCCCUGUGCCAGCCCUGGCUCACUGAAAAACAAAACAAAUCAACCAUCACCCAGGCCUUGUUUGCAGAAUUCCUGAUCCAAACCCUCACCUUUCCUGCCCAGCACUGAGGGAAAUCUGACACAGCAUUAAUAAGUGACCUUUGUUGAGAGCAGCCAUCAUCACAGUCCUCCAGUCUUGGCAAGAUUUUGCAGUGAAUGGACCUAAGUUCUAAUCUUAACCUAAAUUUCUGUCAGUUUUUGUUAGAAAGAUACUGGACAGUAAAUCAUGCAACAGAAUUUGAAAAUUGCACAAGGAAUAACAAGGCCCAGAGCAAACCCAACCACCCCCAUCACUGCUCCACCCCAAUGUUGGGAGAAAUGCUGAUAUCAUCUCUAAAUACUCCCCUUCCCUCCCACUCAGUCCUUCACUGCACAUCCCUGGAGAGGACUGACUCCAUCUUUUGUUGCCAACAGCACCUCUCCAGCCCAAAGCCCACUUCUCACAGACACAAACUAAGCAAGCCUAAGGCAUUGUUCCCAGCAGCAGAUGCAAUUCCUGAACUCCCAUUUCCCUGGAUUCUAAGCACUUGCAGGAAACUCACCUCAGCCCAGAGACUGUUCUGCUUUCCCAGAGGGAAAUACAGCCUGAUGGGCCACAGCUCUGGCACCACAUUGCCCUUGUUCCUGCUGACCUGGAAAGCCACAGUUUUGGGGUCCUCUUAAGAACAGGUUAAAGAGAAGAAGAAGAAAAGCCCAGGACCUACUACCAGCUAGUGCACCAGCCACCUGUUUUCCAUAGAUUCUCCUUACAGCUGAUGGCUUUUCUAAGAAAGCUUCAGUUCAACCUUAUCGCAAUCACCUGGCAGCACUCACUAUUAGCCCCAAAGGCCAGUGCACAUCUGUGUGCUACCUCAGGAAGCUCAGUCGCUCUCUGUGGGACAAAACCUGGUUUGGGCCCAAGAGCUGACUCUGCUCCCUGCUAGCUGAACUGUCCAGCUGUAGGAUGCAGCUGGAUGCUGAAGGGCAGAGUGUGUAACCCUCUGUGAAAGCCAGGCUCCAAAGGCAGCCCUUGAUGCCCCAGCAGUGCUGCUGGAAGCGCUGGCAGCACUUGGCACAGAUGGGAUGGAGCCUUCCCACAGCUCUGUCCCCUGGCACCGAGGGUGGCACAGCAGAGAGGCCGAUGGAAGUAAAACAAACGCUGGAUUUCAAUGGACGCUGAUGGGACUGAAAGCCCCAGCCCAGAGCUGCUCCCUGCCCAGCACAGGAGCUCCCAGUGCUGCUGCAGGGCACAGGCUCUGAGGGAACCCUGCAGCUGGGACAGGAACGCAGCAACAACAAUUCCCAGGCACAAAGAGAUCCCCACCUGCUCCAACAACUGAACCUCUGUGGCUCAGCCUCACGGGGUGUCCCUGCUCCAGGCAGGAUGAGCCACACAGCCCCCGAGGCUGGGCUCACACCCUGCCCUACCAGCAGAAAACAAGGGGUUAAUGAAGCUUUGGGGACACCUUCUGUCCCCAGAGUGCUUUGACAAAACAUCCAGCAGUGUGGAUCUUUAAUAAAGACAGCUUGUACCUAUCCUUGCAA
Molecule: non-coding RNA, 2747 nt
Organism: Agelaius phoeniceus (red-winged blackbird)
Lineage: Eukaryota; Metazoa; Chordata; Aves; Passeriformes; Icteridae
Source: RefSeq, a predicted model, not a curated record